Molecule: ribosomal RNA, 817 nt
Filed under: Rhodococcus sp. VC-YC6633
Lineage: Bacteria; Bacillati; Actinomycetota; Actinomycetes; Mycobacteriales; Nocardiaceae
Description: bacterial SSU rRNA
Rfam family: Bacterial small subunit ribosomal RNA
Source: RNAcentral
CAUCACUGGACCUCACAACAUUGGCUAACGGGGAAAACCGGUACAAAUGUGUUUUAUUUACUCGCUGGGUGAUCUGCCCUGCACCUUCGGGAUAAGCCUGGGAAACUGGGUCUAAUACCGGAUAUGACCAACGACUGCAUGGUUUUUGGUGGAAAGGUUUACUGGUGCAGGAUGAGCCCGCGGCCUAUCAGCUUGUUGGUGGGGUAAUGGCCUACCAAGGCGACGACGGGUAGCCGGCCUGAGAGGGCGACCGGCCACACUGGGACUGANACACGGCCCAGACUCCUACGGGAGGCAGCAGUGGGGAAUAUUGCACAAUGGGCGAAAGCCUGAUGCAGCGACGCCGCGUGAGGGAUGACGGCCUUCGGGUUGUAAACCUCUUUCACCAGGGACGAAGCGCAAGUGACGGUACCUGCAGAAGAAGCACCGGCCAACUACGUGCCAGCAGCCGCGGUAAUACGUAGGGUGCGAGCGUUGUCCGGAAUUACUGGGCGUAAAGAGCUCGUAGGCGGUUUGUCGCGUCGUCUGUGAAAACCCGCAGCUCAACUGCGGGCUUGCAGGCGAUACGGGCAGACUUGAGUACUGCAGGGGAGACUGGAAUUCCUGGUGUAGCGGUGAAAUGCGCAGAUAUCAGGAGGAACACCGGUGGCGAAGGCGGGUCUCUGGGCAGUAACUGACGCUGAGGAGCGAAAGCGUGGGUAGCGAACAGGAUUAGAUACCCUGGUAGUCCACGCCGUAAACGGUGGGCGCUAGGUGUGGGUUUCCUUCCACGGGAUCCGUGCCGUAGCUAACGCAUUAAGCGCCCCGCCUGGGGGAA